Oncorhynchus gorbuscha (pink salmon) is the source of this 5799-nucleotide long non-coding RNA. RefSeq lists it as uncharacterized. The transcript is spliced from 4 exons. The record is from RefSeq and is a predicted model, not a curated record. NCBI's taxonomy places the organism in Eukaryota, Metazoa, Chordata, Actinopteri, Salmoniformes, Salmonidae.
CUAAGUUUUAGAUGCACUAUUGUUAAGUGACUGUCCCACUGGAUGUCAUAAGGUGAAUGCACCAAUUUGUAAGUCGCUCUGGAUAAGAGCGUCUGCUAAAUGACUUAAAUGUAAAUGUAAUGCAUGAGGGCCACAGUGUCCAAUCACUCUUUUGUGAUCAAUUAAGUGCAGAGGAGAAACAGAAACCUGUGUUAUAUUUAUCUCUAACCGUACCAAUGUACUCCUCUUUCUCAAGGACACCUCUCAGUUCUGUCCAUCUGCGGGCCACAGAGACUGGCUCUGUCCUGUGUGUCUGCAAACUGCCAGCUUCUCUGUACAGACCAACUGGGGCCAUGUAUACUGUGCUCCCUGUCUGAUCUCGUACUGGAGACUUGGGUCCUGGCUGGAUGCCAUCAGCUGCCCUCUGUGUAGACAAAGGUGUCCUGUGUCGUCUAUUUUGGCGAGGGUCGGUCAGACAGAAAGGAGAGGGAGGUUCUGGGAGAAUUUACAGACUACAACAAACGUUACUCAGGAACCCCUCGAAGGGUGACAGACUACUUGUGAGACAUGCCCCUGUUCCUGCAGCUGCUAGCUCGCGGGCCUGGGUGCUAUGGGGGGGGGGCUUCUUUCUCAGAGUGGUGCUCUGCUGUCUUGGGGCCAUGGUGUCCCUCUCCUCUGCCCCCCUGGACACUUCAUCCUCCCUGUCUGGCCUCCUGGGGGUCCUGGAUGUCCUGGUGGUGGUCUUCCUGCUGCUCACCUGUGUUAUCAACAUCAACCAGCAAAUGGCGCCAGAGAGUGGGAACUCCUCAGCACACACAGCCACACAGGGAGUAGGUCUGCUCAGUAACUCGCCGUAGCAGCAGAGAUGACAACCUGCAGUGAUUUAUUUAACCUUUGUUUCAACAGGAGAUCUCAAGGUGAAGAAACUAUUUUUUGAUUGAGACCUGGCAAAAUGUCAGCAGUGCCCAUCUGCUGGUUUUCAUCCUGAUGUUAGCAGGUGAUGAACUCACUGUAGCACUAGCAUAGACAACCUUUAGGUUUACAGCUAAUUACAGGCGAACAGCAGGCAGUCUAACCAGGGGCCCAGUUUAUGCGUUGAUGAAUGUAUGCUGACGUAUGUGUCUCAACUGUCUCACACCUUGCCUUCUCUCUUUCCUUUAUGACCAGUGAUCUGGUGAGAUGGUGAAAGCUACAUGGUGGAACCUACACAACUAGUUUCACCAUGCGGUGUAGGCCUACCAGUGGAGGCUGGUGGGAGGAGCUAUAGGAGGACAGGCUCAUUAUAAUGGCUGGAAUGGAAUGGUAUCUAACAUAAUUCCAUUCUAGCCAUUACAACCAGCCUCCACUGAGUCCUACUCAACUCAUUUGAGAGUGGGCAUGUUUGAUGGAUUACGAUGUAGCAUUUUAUUUUUUUAUUUUUUGUGUAGUGGUUUUUUGUGUAGUAUUUCUACUCCUACAGUAUAUACAGUACCUGUAGCCUUUAUUUUGGAGACAGUUAUGGUUAUCACUGGCCUUCAGUGGUUCAGUGAGACCCGGGGUAUGUUCAGGAAGGUGCAGAUUAAAUGUAGGCCUAUUGUGUUGCACCCUACUGUAAAAUUAAACUGGAAAUACUUUAUAUUUUACCAAGGCGUUGUUGAAUACUUGCUUCUGAUUGGCAUUCUAGAACGUGCAUUAUGGGAUAAUCAAGGGGGCUAUGCUUUCUUUGGAAAAUAAUGAACACGUGGAAGGUGUGUUCCACGACACACCACUAGCAGAGUGGAACUGACCUUCCUUGGAGUUGUAUUAUUUUCUGGAGAACGCAAGUUGAUUAUCUCUUUUAUACCAUGGCUAUAAAUUAACAUGUGUUCUUUGCUGGGAGAAAUGUGCUUAACAUACACUGAAGUAGCUAGCUAGCAACUUAACUAGAUAGCUACAGUAGUUUCUGUGGUAACCGAACAAACAGACUUGCUAGUUUAGCUAACCAAACCAUCAGUCCUAACUUGCUAUUAUGAAUUUUGAAUUCAACAUUAGACUUUUGCUUUCAAAAGCAAUGUUGUGGAAAUUCUUACACAGGGACACUCAAAGUAAAUCUUAAAUGAAUCAUUGUUUAUUGUCAGCUUGCUGGAGAGGUUCCAACCAACUCAAUGCACCAUAGUACACAUGUCGAUCAGGGUCUCUAAUGUGGCAGUCCCGUUAGUUCUUUUAUAUACUUACACAGAAAGUAAUACUUGCAUGAUUUAGCCUGUUCAUUAUUUAUUUGCUAUCAUUCAUGUGACAGAUUGCUAUCCUUCAUGUGACCGACCAAUACUGGUUCAUACAUGUGGCAGACCAAUACCUCAUGAGGCUUCUUCUCUCCAAGCUGAGACCUUGAAACUGGGGGUCUGGGCGUACUUCCAAAUUUCAAAUACUACAGUGAGGAUUUCUCCCAUGUAUUCAUUCAGUCACUUACAUGAACACAUAAAUUGGUUAUCAGAAAAGCACAAACAGAACACAGAAAUGGAUUAUUUGAAAAGCACAAACAUUUCCAUCACAGCAGCUCAAACAAAACAUGUGCAAAUUCACUAUAGCCAUUGAACUCUACAGUGAAAAUAUACUGUGCGCUGUAGGGAAAUAAUGCACACUCUAGAAUGCCCUUCAAGCCAAUUAGAAAAGACUAUUCAACAAUUCCAUGGUUUAGGCAAUAAGACAUGAGGGGUGUGGUAUAUGGCCAAUAUACUACGGCUAAGGGCUGUUCAAAGGCACAAUGCAAUGUUACCAACUGGUUACCAAUGUAAUUAGAGCAGGUAAAAUAAUGCUUUAUCAUAUCUGUGGUAUACUAUGGCUGUCAGCCAAUCAGCAUUCAGGGCUUGAACCACCCAGUUUAUAAUUAAGUGAUAAUGCCAGAGAAGCAUUGGAGGAUAUUUGGAGGAUAUAUUGGCAGUGUUUGGAGGCUAUAUUGGCACGGGUGUUGUUAAGCCCGAGACUAAGUCUGUUCUCAAUGUUCCAUUGCCAUACUGGCUGGCAACGUUCUUAUCCCUUGCUUGCUAGCUGGCCAACUAUGGCCAACUUACAUUCACACCAAAAAGGUGCAGCCAAAGUAACUGCAUUUGCAUUUGUUUAAGCUGUUUUCUAAAGACCUUGAAUGUGGAUUCAUCCAUAACAAUGAACUAAUAAUGUGCGAUUUCGCCUGGCAUAGAACAUUUGCCCUCUCGCCAGGCCACUGUUCAGAAUAGAUAGCCAAAUACACAGCUAACACAAUCAUUUCAAACUGAAGCUGAAAUGAAAGCAAACGAGCUACAUUUCGUGUUUUUAUUUUCAUUGUAUAUAUCCAAAGAAAUUAUGCAGAUUCAUGAUUUCGACUGGCUGAGAAAAUCUGCAAGCCGGUCUUUCUCGAGACGUUCAUUACCAUAGGACAGCUGGAGAUUGAAUUUUAUUACAAAUCUCCGCUGUUGAAAGACAAAUGCUAGUCUAAAAGAAAUGGGAGAUAAUGUCUAGAUGUUUUUUACAAUGUAGAUCUAGUAAAUAAAUGGCCUGGCUGAACUGAUUAUCCAGUCAGAUGCACAGUCAGAUGGAGUAAAUAGGUAUAGAAUUAGCCUGUGGUCAUUUGUGAAUUAUAAACUGGGAGGUUCGAGCCCUGAAUGCUGAUUGGCUGAAAGCCGUGUUAUAUCAGACCAUAUACCACGGGUAUGAAAGCCCGCACACUGUUAAAGCUCCCAAUUCACAGAUUUAUUGACAACGUUUCGAUCUGAAACUAAUCUUCGUCGGGUCAAAUAAACUGAGUGCUCACAUCCCAAAAUAUACACAUUUCACCUCACAUGAACAUUGUGGACAUGACGCAUGGUGGGUGCAAAAACAAUGUGUAUCUCUAAUCAUUGAAUAACAAUAAGAUGAGUACAUGUAGUAGUUCCAGAAAAUAAUAUAUAUUUACAAAAUGACCAAGUGGGUAACCUGGAAGGAAAGGACAAAUCAAAGUGACAUAUUCACUUUGAUUUAUCAAACUCUUGGUUCAGACCUCGAGGAGACAUGGUACACAAAUGUUGAAUCCAGUACAAUUCUCUUCUCAAUAAUAGAUUAUCAGUAUCUCCCCCCCCCCCUUCUAGGAGUCUUAACAUGUUCGAUGCCAAUGUGUCUCAAAGAGCUAAUGUUGUGACAAGCUUCCACAAAAUGCACAGCCACAGGGUUUCUCUGGUCAAGGGUCCUGAUAUUACUCCUGAAUUCUGCUAUCCUUGUUUUCAGAGCUCGUUUUGUUUUUCCUACAUAGCAUAGACCACAAAUACACUUGAUGUAAUGAUGCCCAUAUACUACACCCCCUCGUACCUGAUUGCUUAAAUAGACACCACCUGGAAUGCGGUUUUAACCAAUCAGCAUCCAGGAUUAGACCCACCCAUUGUAUAAUUCCAUAUAAUUUACAGUAGAAUUCAAUGGAUAUAGUUCAUUCUUACAUGUUAAGAGUGUCUUGAUAAGAUUGUCUGCUAAAUUAUAAAAUGUUAUACAGUAUGUUUCAACUGCUUUUGCCAGCAGCAUACCACCCUGCAUUCCACUGCUAGCUUGCCUCUGAAGCUAAGUAGGGUUGUCCUGUCACCUGGUCGGUCCCUGUAUGGGAGACCAGAUGCUGCUGGAAGUGGUGAAGGAGGGCCAGUAGGGGGCACUCUUUCCUCUGGUCUAAAAAAAUAUCCCAAUGCCUCAGAGCAGUGAUCGGGGACAUUGCCCUGUGUAAGGGUGCCAUCUUUCGGAUGGUACAUUAAACGGGUGUCCUGACUCUCUGUGGUCACUAAAGAUCUCAUGGCACUUAUCGUAAGAAUAGGGGUGUUGUUAACCAAGGUAUCCUGGCUAAAUUUCAAAUCUGGCCCUCAUACCAUCAUGGCCACCUAAUCAUCCCCAGCUUCCAAUUGGUUCAUUCAUCCCCCUCUCCCCCCUGUAACUAUUUCCCAGGUCGUUGCUGUAAAUGAGAAUGUUUUCUCAGUCAACUUACCUGGUAAAAUAAAGGUUAAAAAAUAAACAAAUAAUUGAAUGCCAAUGUCAAAUUGAAAGCAUUGUUGAAUUUGAUUUUCAAAGUGGUGUUACGUACUUAAGUACAAAUAUUUAAAGUACUACUUAAGUUGAUUUUUUUGGGUAUCUGUACUUUACUAUUUAUAUUUUACUUCACUACAUUGCUAAAGAAAAUAAUGUACUUUUUACUCCAUACAUUUUCCCUGACACCCACAAUUGUCCAAUUCAGACUUUAAGAGAACAUCCAAGGUCAUCCCUACUGCCUCUGAUCCGGCAGGCUAAAUGAACACAAAUGCUUUGUUUGUAAAUUAUGUCCGAGAGUUGGAGUGUGCCCCUUGCAAUCCAUCAAUGUAAAACAAAAAUCAAGAAAAUUGUGCCGUCUGGUUUCCUUAAUAUAAGGAAUUUGAAAUGGUUUACUUUGACUUUUGAUACUUAAUAUAUUUGAGCAAUUACAUUUACUUUUGAUACUAAAGGAUACUCAAGUAGUAUUUUACUAGGUGAUUUAACACUUCUACUUGAGUUAUUUUCUAUUAAGCCAUCUUUACUCAAGUAUGACAAUUGGGUACUUUUUCCACCUCUGGAUGUUCAUAAUGUCAAGCCAGGUCCGAUGGUUUGGGUACCACUGCAAGUAUUGUAGCUAUCUAGUAAACUUGUUAGCGUCUAAAGUAAAUGUUAAAUUAUAGCCAUGGUAUUAAAAGGAUAAUCAACGCUCUUUCUCUGGAAUAUAAUGCAUCUCCCUGGAAGGUCAGAACACCUUUCAAGUAGCUUGUUAUUUUCCAUAGAACACCCCCACGUUGAUUACCCCUUAACAUUGUGAAUACUUGUAAAACACUUAUAAUUCUAUAAAUGUUGUAUUUAUUGUUCUAAAACUUU